UUUCGAAAGAAAGAUUAAUACCGGAUGGUAUAGUUUUCCCGCAUGGGAUGAUUAUUAAAGAAUUUCGGUUGUCGAUGGGGAUGCGUUCCAUUAGGCAGUUGGCGGGGUAACGGCCCACCAAACCUACGAUGGAUAGGGGUUCUGAGAGGAAGGUCCCCCACAUUGGAACUGAGACACGGUCCAAACUCCUACGGGAGGCAGCAGUGAGGAAUAUUGGUCAAUGGACGAGAGUCUGAACCAGCCAAGUAGCGUGAAGGAUGACUGCCCUAUGGGUUGUAAACUUCUUUUAUACGGGAAUAAAGUGAGCCACGUGUGGCUUUUUGUAUGUACCGUAUGAAUAAGGAUCGGCUAACUCCGUGCCAGCAGCCGCGGUAAUACGGAGGAUCCGAGCGUUAUCCGGAUUUAUUGGGUUUAAAGGGAGCGUAGGCGGGUUGUUAAGUCAGUUGUGAAAGUUUGCGGCUCAACCGUUAAAAUUGCAGUUGAUACUGGCGACCUUGAGUGCAACAGAGGUAGGCGGAAUUCGUGGUGUAGCGGU
RNAcentral lists this ribosomal RNA (535 nucleotides) under uncultured bacterium. RNAcentral's name for it is "bacterial SSU rRNA". It matches the Rfam family "Bacterial small subunit ribosomal RNA", at positions 149 to 682 of the family's 1533-position model. The record is from RNAcentral.